GACGAACGCUGGCGGCGUGCUUAACACAUGCAAGUCGAACGGAAAGGCCCUGCUUUUGUGGGGUGCUCGAGUGGCGAACGGGUGAGUAACACGUGAGUAACCUGCCCUUGACUUUGGGAUAACUUCAGGAAACUGGGGCUAAUACCAGAUAGGAGCUCCUGCUGCAUGGUGGGGGUUGGAAAGUUUCGGCGGUUGGGGAUGGACUCGCGGCUUAUCAGCUUGUUGGUGGGGUAGUGGCUUACCAAGGCUUUGACGGGUAGCCGGCCUGAGAGGGUGACCGGCCACAUUGGGACUGAGGUACGGCCCAGAGUCCUACGGGAGGCAGCAGUGGGGAAUAUUGCACAAUGGGCGGAAGCCUGAUGCAGCGACGCCGCGUGCGGGAUGACGGCCUUCGGGUUGUAAACCGCUUUCGCCUGUGACGAAGCGGGAGUGACGGUAAUGGAUAAAGAAGCACCGGCUAACUACGUG
RNAcentral lists this ribosomal RNA (468 nucleotides) under uncultured bacterium. Its description in RNAcentral is "partial 16S ribosomal RNA". It matches the Rfam family "Bacterial small subunit ribosomal RNA", at positions 28 to 507 of the family's 1533-position model. The record is from RNAcentral.